AAGUUUUAUAUUGGAUGGUCAUAUAUACUAUAAAUACUAAAGGUUUACAGAGAAAAGAAAUUGUGCAAAUAAAAAAAAAAAAGAACAAAUUUGAGAGAAAAGAGAAUUUUCAAGUGAAAAUGGCGAGAAAAGAAGCUUUGGUUUUUGUUUUCUUAUGCCUCAUAAUCGUGGCAUCUGUGGCAGCCAGAACUAUUCCAGAAGCAAAUGUCGAUAAUACAGAAUUUCUUGAUAACAAUAAUAAAAUUGAUGGUAAAACUCGGACCUGUUGCAUUGCAAAUGCGUUCGUUGGGGGCUGCUUGUGGUAUUGCAAAGCGAAGCUCACAUAGUCACCAUACAGCCGCAUGGAUUAUACAAGACACACGAUGCACUACCAUGGGCUAUGCAGGAUUUGAAUAAUAAACGUGUCCUUCAUCCUAAAAUCGUCGUGUUGUAAUAAAUUAAUGUGAAACAAAUACCAUGCGUGAAUAUCUUUAGUAGUUAAGUCUUAUGGUUUGUGACUGAUAUCUUAAUAGUUAUUUUGAUAAUACUUAAGCAAUUUAUCUAA
Molecule: long non-coding RNA, 544 nt
Organism: Arachis duranensis
Lineage: Eukaryota; Viridiplantae; Streptophyta; Magnoliopsida; Fabales; Fabaceae
Exons: 2
Source: RefSeq, a predicted model, not a curated record